GGGGUAAGUCGGACGGUCGCUGGCGAGUUGCACUCAGGUGCAACCACGAGAGGAAAGUCCGAACACCACAGGGCAGUGGGCUGGGUAACACCCAGGCAGGUCGGACCUUUGGGGACGGCCUGACGACAAGUGCAACAGAGAAUAGACCAGCCAGCCCCAAAGGGCAGGUGAUGGGUGAAACGGUGGGGUAAGAGCCCACCAGCGGGCGUGGUGACACGCCCGGCUAGGCAAACUCCCCACGGUGCAAGACCAAAUAGGGAGACGGCAGGAGGGCGGCCCGUCCCAGCCUCGCCGGCGGCGGAAUCACCGCCAAGCCGGCGAGCCCGUCUCCGGGUAGGUUGCUCGAGCCGUUGAGUAAUCAACGGCCUAGAUGAAUGACCGUCCUCCAGCCCGAUCUCGGGCGGAGACAGAAUUCGGCUUACAGACUUACUCCAAGC
RNAcentral lists this RNase P RNA (437 nucleotides) under Acidobacteriota bacterium. RNAcentral's name for it is "Acidobacteria bacterium (groundwater metagenome) RNase P RNA component class A". It matches the Rfam family "Bacterial RNase P class A". Rfam says of the family: Ribonuclease P (RNase P) is a ubiquitous endoribonuclease, found in archaea, bacteria and eukarya as well as chloroplasts and mitochondria. Its best characterised activity is the generation of mature 5'-ends of tRNAs by cleaving the 5'-leader elements of precursor-tRNAs. Lineage: Bacteria; Pseudomonadati; Acidobacteriota. The record is from RNAcentral.